Camellia sinensis is the source of this 752-nucleotide non-coding RNA. The record is from RefSeq and is a predicted model, not a curated record. NCBI's taxonomy places the organism in Eukaryota, Viridiplantae, Streptophyta, Magnoliopsida, Ericales, Theaceae.
GUCACCAAUAAUUUUUUAUAAUUUAAUAUUAUCUAAUGAAAAAAUUAUUUUCGUAGCUAAUAAUUUUAUUUUUUAUGAGAAAAUAAUUUUGUCACUAAAUAAAUGAUUUAAUUGCUAAAAAUUUUUAGGGGGAAAUGAAUAUAUUGGCGCCUUUAGAUAUAUCUGUUCCUCUCACACACAGAUUCCAAACCUCGCCCUACAUGACCUCACCUCCCCCUUUCUCUUUUCUCACGCCUCACGCCUAUGUGUCUCUUCUCUCUCACGCCUCACGCCUCACGCUGCCCUCCUCUCUGUUACUAGAGCAUCACCGCAAGGGUUAGAUGAGCACAACUCAAGGGUUAGGUGAGCACACCGUAAGGGUUAGCACCACCGUCGCUUUGUCUCGGGUAGGGGAAUUUGGGGCUUUAUUGGCAUUAAACUGGAAAGGGCUUCUUCAGAGAUUAUGGAGUAGAUGGUUCUUGGACGGUUGAAAACUUAUGGAGUUGGGUUGGUUUUGUUGCGUGUUAGGGUGAUAUUUCUUUGAUAACCAGCAUCUCUAAUUUGUGCUUUUCGACUUUGCUUGGAUUGCUUUUCAAUAGAAUGCUAUUUAUAUACAUAUUGACUGUCUUAAUCUUGUUUUGCUGAUGGGAGGAAAGAAAACGUGAGCUUUGUUGAUAUCAUCCCUUGCUUCAUAUUGCAUUUUAGACUCCAUUGACAACUUGAUUUUGUGUAAAAUAUUUUUUGCGCCUAAAGAAGCUGUUAAGCUUUCCCGU